CCCGGCUUCGGCCGGAAUCCUAGUGGCGGACGGGUGAGUAACGCGUGGGAACCUGCCCAACAGUGGGGAAUAACAGCGGGAAACUGCUGCUAAUACCGCAUACGUCCUUCGGGAGAAAGGCUUCGGCCGCUGUUGGAUGAGCCCGCGUCCGAUUAGCUAGUUGGUGGGGUAACGGCCUACCAAGGCGACGAUCGGUAGCUGGUCUGAGAGGACGACCAGCCACACUGGGACUGAGACACGGCCCAGACUCCUACGGGAGGCAGCAGUGGGGAAUAUUGGACAAUGGGGGAAACCCUGAUCCAGCGACGCCGCGUGAGUGAAGAAGGCCUUAGGGUUGUAAAGCUCUUUCGCCGGGGAAGAUGAUGACGGUACCCGGAGAAGAAGCCCCGGCUAACUCCGUGCCAGCAGCCGCGGUAACACGGAGGGGGCUAGCGUUGUUCGGAAUGACUGGGCGUAAAGCGCGCGUAGGCGGUUCGGUAAGUUGGAUGUGAAAGCCCGGGGCUCAACUCCGGAUGUGCGUUCAAGACUGCCGAACUUGAGACCGAGAGAGGAGAGUGGAAUUCCCAGUGUAGAGGUGAAAUUCGUAGAUAUUGGGAAGAACACCAGUGGCGAAAGCGGCUCUCUGGCUCGGUUCUGACGCUGAGGUGCGAAA
This 652-nucleotide ribosomal RNA is filed under the name uncultured bacterium. Its description in RNAcentral is "bacterial SSU rRNA". It matches the Rfam family "Bacterial small subunit ribosomal RNA", at positions 73 to 758 of the family's 1533-position model. The record is from RNAcentral.